This is a long non-coding RNA of Helianthus annuus (common sunflower), 1572 nucleotides long. RefSeq lists it as uncharacterized. The transcript has 2 exons. NCBI's taxonomy places the organism in Eukaryota, Viridiplantae, Streptophyta, Magnoliopsida, Asterales, Asteraceae. The record is from RefSeq and is a predicted model, not a curated record.
UAACCAAUAAUCACCGAUACGAUAUUCUGUCCGAUCGAUCCGAGAACUAACUAACGAAUGCUAAAGUGCUGUCUGAAUAAGACUAGGGAAAUUUUUUUAACGAAAUACUGGUACCGUACUUGUACCAUACCGAUGCCGUACCGUAUCGAUCAUAAACGGUACCGGUAACGGUAAUAGAUUUUUCGAAAUUCGGCAUCGGCAAAAAACGGUAUCGGUACCGGUAUUUUUCGGUAAAUACCGGUAUUAAUACCUAAUUUAAUAAUGACUUUAUGUAUUUUGCUAUUAUCUUAGAUCCCACUAUGAAGUUAUAUUUUCUUGAACAUUGUUUUACAAAAACCAAUAUCAAAUUUCUUUUGUUUGGUUAUUUUUAAUCAAUUAUGAUAAUUUUUUAGACAUGCUGGAAUUUGGAUGUUAAAAAGUGAACCCAUGGAUUUUAAAAGUUUAUCUUUUGAUUUUUUUUACUACUUAAUAUGUUUACCUUUUGUUUGUAUUCCACUAUAUAUUACUCUACUUCAGUUAAUAAUGGAUGGAUAGGUUGCACAUGAAUUUUUUUUUUUUUGUAAAACAAUGGAUGACACCAAAGCGGUACCAAGGUGGUAAAGUACCGAAAUACCAGUACCGAUACCAGUACCGAAUCUAUAAAUACGGUACGGUAAUCGGUAUCCACAUUUUCUCAAUUUCGGUAACGAUAUUUACGGUAUCGUACCGAUCUCAUCCCUAAAUAAGACUAUACUUUGUUGACUUACGUUAUGGUUCUGAUCUCGUGACCAUCGUUUGGUUUGAUCUGGUUUUACACUAAUACGUAUUCUACUCUAUUAAACUAUAUAUUUAACUAUCCAAAAGCUCAAAACUAUAACCUUACUAUCAAACAAGAUGUUUAAUCAUCAGAAGAUUCAGAACUACAAAAGUAGAUGCUUAGUGAUCAGAAGACUUAGAAUCAGAAGGCUUGUUUAAUCAAGACUAUAUGCUAACAAGGGAGACAAGAUCGAUCCAUUGCAACGUUGACGAACCUUGUUGAUCUCUCACCGGAAUAUAGGGACUCGACAGUUACAUUGUCUUAUUUCUUUUUGCAGUGCGUUCACGGCCAUUCCGUUUGCUCCAUAUGCUGUGAGAUGUGGGAAAAUAAGUGUCUCUUCUGCGAAUUCCCUAUCGGCCCCAACUUGCACCGCAACACAAUGGUUGAAAACAUGCUGGAAGAAUCUCCCAUUGAAUGUAUCAACAAAACAUAUGGGUGCCUUGACCGACCAUUUCGAAGUGAGCUUCGAGCGCACGUUAUGGAGUGUGAGUAUGAUUAUGCUAUUCGCGGUUGGAUGUACAUGUAGAGCUUCCGGUAGACAAAUUGAUUUUUGGGGACUCACACCUAUUAGUAAAGUGUGGGUUGUAAAGGUAAAAGGUGGAUGAUUUACACAUGGUUAUUGUUAUAGCGUAUGGAACUUUUAGACACAUUCUUUGGGUUAUAUAAAAACAGAAGCUGGUGUGCAUGUUUUUAUUUGCUUUAGUUAGUUAUAUUUUUGAGUUGAAGAUGAGAUUUCCCGCCUAGUUAUCAACAAUGAAGGUGCUUUUUAUUGAUUA